RNAcentral lists this ribosomal RNA (500 nucleotides) under uncultured bacterium. RNAcentral's name for it is "partial 16S ribosomal RNA". It matches the Rfam family "Bacterial small subunit ribosomal RNA", at positions 30 to 523 of the family's 1533-position model. The record is from RNAcentral.
AUUGAACGCUGGCGGCAUGCUUUACACAUGCAAGUCGAACGGUAACAGGGUGCUUGCACCGCCGACGAGUGGCGAACGGGUGAGUAAUGCGUCGGAACGUGCCGAGUAGUGGGGGAUAACGCAGCGAAAGUUGUGCUAAUACCGCAUACGUACUGAGGUAGAAAGUGGGGGACCUUCGGGCCUCACGCUAUUCGAGCGGCCGACGUCUGAUUAGCUAGUAGGUGAGGUAAAGGCCCACCUAGGCGACGAUCAGUAGCGGGUCUGAGAGGAUGAUCCGCCACACUGGGACUGAGACACGGCCCAGACUCCUACGGGAGGCAGCAGUGGGGAAUUUUGGACAAUGGGCGAAAGCCUGAUCCAGCCAUGCCGCGUGUCUGAAGAAGGCCUUCGGGUUGUAAAGGACUUUUGUCGGGGAGGAAAUCCCCAGCGUUAAUACCGCUGGGGGAUGACAGUACCUGAAGAAUAAGCACCGGCUAACUACGUGCCAGCCGUCGCAGUAA